RNAcentral lists this ribosomal RNA (294 nucleotides) under uncultured microorganism. RNAcentral's name for it is "partial 16S ribosomal RNA". It matches the Rfam family "Bacterial small subunit ribosomal RNA", at positions 505 to 796 of the family's 1533-position model. The record is from RNAcentral.
GUGCCAGCAGCCGCGGUAAUACGGAGGGUGCAAGCGUUAAUCGGAAUUACUGGGCGUAUAGCGCACGCAGGCGGUUUGUUAAGUCAGAUGUGAAAUCCCCGGGCUCAACCUGGGAACUGCAUCUGAUACUGGCAAGCUUGAGUCUCUUAGAGGGGGGUAGAAUUCCAGGUGUAGCGGUGAAAUGCGUAGGAGAUCUGGAGGAAUACCGGUUGCGAAGGCGGCCCCCUUGGACGAAGACUGACGUUCAGGUGCGAAAGCGUGGGGAGCAAACAGGAUUAGAUACCCUUGUAGUCC